UCUUUAUAUGUUUACAUAUUAUAUAUAUAUCAUGUAUAUUAGAUCCAGAUUCAUAUUUCUUUCUCUACUUGUUCAAUCUACAACAAAAACAUGUUAGAGGCUAAUUAGUCAGAAGAAUGAAUAUUUACUUAUUUUUCGAUAAAAGUUAUACGGAUGAAGAUGAUGUGGAAAAUUUAAAGUUUCUAAAGUUUGCAGAUUGAUACUUAAGGAAGGAGCAAGCGGCACUUUAUAGGGCACCUUCAACAACAAUUUUUACAAAAGGGAGUGGAUUUAUACCAAUGUGAAACCGAGUAUAGAAAGAUAACUCAAAUAUUCUGCUACUGGACAAACAAGGUUGGUGCUGAAAAUAAUUUGUUACAUUAUAUUAUCAAGUCGUGGACUUAGCUUGGAAUGAUGCCUCACUUUCUCACUUGAUGAGGUAUUUAAAGAUUCAAGAAUUUGACCAGGUUGUAUACUCCAUUGCAAGUAAACUUACUUUGAUUAGUUUACGGCUUGAUACACAAGAAUGAAGUGAAGGAUUAGUCGGCAUAUUAUUUGGUACAUUGGGUUCACAACUACGUACAAGUAGACAAAAGAGUGUUUCGAAGGUGUCAUCUCUUCCAGGAUAGCUUGCUAACUGAACACCACAUAUCCUGAAGUUGCGGGUACCAUGUGAUUUGAAGACGAUUUUAAGCAGAGCCACGUCACCACCAGCAACAAGUAUUAUAAGUAACAAGCACAAAACAUCACAAGGAAACGUAAACAGUGUGCUCUUGUCUCUUGAUCCUGUAUUAUGGAGCUGAUCCCUGUUGUGAAGGUUCUUACUUAUCUUUCCAUUGUGGGUCAAAUGGCUAUGCUCCGGUGUAAACAAUCGAAUGAAGAAAUUAAUCGAUGGUCCCAAAAACCGAAGAACGACUGAUCUUUGCCACUAUUUACUACUGAUUCUGAAAACAUUUAGAAGUUGCAAUAUUGCUAAUUUAAUGUCAAAAGGGAGUAAGAGGUUGAGGUUCGAAGAACAGUUGAUUAUUGGUUUUUGAACACGGUUCUUUCGCCCAAGUACAAUUUAACUUGAUAUUAUCUAUCUUGAGAGGCAAGGGGCAAGUGGUGGAGGGUGAUAGAAAACAUUUUGAAUAUCAAUAGUCUUUCAAAAGUGCUAUUACAUCCGAUCAUUUGAUAGUAACUAUUGUUUCUAUUUUUGGAAGACUAUUGGUAUUGUAAUUUUGGUUGAUAUAAUGGGUUGGUUGGAGUUAAUGAGCAAUAUUGACUUUGGUAAAA
Molecule: long non-coding RNA, 1254 nt
Organism: Erigeron canadensis
Lineage: Eukaryota; Viridiplantae; Streptophyta; Magnoliopsida; Asterales; Asteraceae
Exons: 12
Source: RefSeq, a predicted model, not a curated record